RNAcentral lists this ribosomal RNA (1370 nucleotides) under uncultured bacterium. RNAcentral's name for it is "bacterial SSU rRNA". It matches the Rfam family "Bacterial small subunit ribosomal RNA". The record is from RNAcentral.
AGAGUUUGAUCCUGGCUCAGAACGAACGUUGGCGGCGUGGAUAAGACAUGCAAGUCGAACGAGAGAAUUGCUAGCUUGCUAAUAAUUCUCUAGUGGCGCACGGGUGAGUAACACGUGAGUAACCUGCCCCCGAGAGCGGGAUAGCCCUGGGAAACUGGGAUUAAUACCGCAUAGUAUCGAAAGAUUAAAGCAGCAAUGCGCUUGGGGAUGGGCUCGCGGCCUAUUAGUUAGUUGGUGAGGUAACGGCUCACCAAGGCGAUGACGGGUAGCCGGUCUGAGAGGAUGUCCGGCCACACUGGAACUGAGACACGGUCCAGACACCUACGGGUGGCAGCAGUCGAGAAUCAUUCACAAUGGGGGAAACCCUGAUGGUGCGACGCCGCGUGGGGGAAUGAAGGUCUUCGGAUUGUAAACCCCUGUCAUGUGGGAGCAAAUUAAAAAGAUAGUACCACAAGAGGAAGAGACGGCUAACUCUGUGCCAGCAGCCGCGGUAAUACAGAGGUCUCAAGCGUUGUUCGGAAUCACUGGGCGUAAAGCGUGCGUAGGCUGUUUCGUAAGUCGUGUGUGAAAGGCGCGGGCUCAACCCGCGGACGGCACAUGAUACUGCGAGACUAGAGUAAUGGAGGGGGAACCGGAAUUCUCGGUGCAGCAGUGAAAUGCGUAGAUAUCGAGAGGAACACUCGUGGCGAAGGCGGGUUCCUGGACAUUAACUGACGCUGAGGCACGAAGGCCAGGGGAGCGAAAGGGAUUAGAUACCCCUGUAGUCCUGGCAGUAAACGGUGCACGCUUGGUGUGCGGGGAAUCGACCCCCUGCGUGCCGGAGCUAACGCGUUAAGCGUGCCGCCUGGGGAGUACGGUCGCAAGAUUAAAACUCAAAGAAAUUGACGGGGACCCGCACAAGCGGUGGAGUAUGUGGCUUAAUUCGAUGCAACGCGAAGAACCUUACCUGGGCUUGACAUGUAAUGAACAACAUGUGAAAGCAUGCGACUCUUCGGAGGCGUUACACAGGUGCUGCAUGGCCGUCGUCAGCUCGUGUCGUGAGAUGUUUGGUUAAGUCCAGCAACGAGCGCAACCCCUGUUGCCAGUUACCAGCACGUGAAGGUGGGGACUCUGGCGAGACUGCCCAGAUCAACUGGGAGGAAGGUGGGGACGACGUCAGGUCAGUAUGGCCCUUAUGCCCAGGGCUGCACACGUACUACAAUGCCCAGUACAGAGGGGGCCGAAGCCGCGAGGCGGAGGAAAUCCUAAAAACUGGGCCCAGUUCGGACUGUAGGCUGCAACCCGCCUACACGAAGCCGGAAUCGCUAGUAAUGGCGCAUCAGCUACGGCGCCGUGAAUACGUUCCCGGGUCUUGCACACACCGCCCGUCA